CCCCUAUCGCCACUCCUCUUCUCCACCCCCCACACCAUUCCUCCUCCCUUUCGAUACUGAAGAGCAGUCCAAAUUCUCUGCCCUGCGGGAAGACGAAGGUCUUCUAUCUACGUCCAGGAAGGAUUCAAUCCUGGAGGUCGUCUUAUUCUUCAUACAGGAAAGGAUAGAAUAUUAGAGGUCUUCUUAUUCUUCAUACAGAAAAGGAUAGAAUCCUGGAGGUCUUCAUAUUCUUCAUGCAGAAAACGAUAGAAUCUUGGAGGUCUUCAUAUUCUUCAUACAGAAAAGGAUAGAAUCUUGGAGGACUUCAUAUUCUUCAUGCAGAAAAGG
Chionomys nivalis (European snow vole) is the source of this 327-nucleotide long non-coding RNA. RefSeq lists it as uncharacterized. The record is from RefSeq and is a predicted model, not a curated record. NCBI's taxonomy places the organism in Eukaryota, Metazoa, Chordata, Mammalia, Rodentia, Cricetidae. The transcript has 6 exons.